GACACCUCCUAAGUGGUAAGGCAGCCUGGGUGCGCGCUGCUCAGCACCCAUGUUAACUGUCUGGAUCGCCCACUCAAUCCCUAUGCUGUUCUACAUUGUUGCUCAGAGGAGAGGCUGGGCCUUAUGUUCCUGGAUCCCUGGAAUAUGAGGCAGCACAAAUCAGGACUCCUCAGAGGCCUUCCUCAUGAAUACGCCGAUAUUAAACAGGGAAAAUAUCCUUCCUCUGCUCUGAUUUUAGGCUCCAGUAGUCACACAAGUGGACUUGUUUCCUUUUACAGCCAUCAAAUUGCACAUGUCCAUCCCUUCUCCCGCGCUCCAGCCUGUCAUGCACUUGUUGCAACCAGCCCACUGCUCUCAAGGACUUCCAACCCCUUUAUGCUUCUAGGGAGUUUCAUAACCGCAAGGCUUUUGAGGGGAUAAAGAGAACUGGAAGACAGGUUAUCUGCCUUUAAGAAAAAGUAUUUUACAGAUUAAAACAAACUAACAGCAGAAAGAGAGCAUGAAAAAUACAGCUAGCAAUGUACAGCAUGACACUCACCGUGUGAGUGCUACAGGAGUUGAGAAUUCUCUCCUUCACAAUCAAACUCUAUAUGCCUAGUGUUUGGCAAAUAGUAGAUACUGAAUAAGUAUGUUCAUCAAAUAGCAUUCAUUCAGCAAGUAAAUAAAUGAAUAAAUGGGCUGUUAAACAAAUGAACAUAUCAGUGAGAAGAGCAGGGAGCUCAUCUUGAGUGAUCCAGGAAACUUCUUUGUGCAGAAAGGCUUUAAAGUAUGUCCAGAAUGAGAAGAAAAGGAGAGAACAUGUUUCCAGAGCCACUAUGCAUUCUUCUCCUGUGACUCCCCUCCACUGCCUAGAAGAGUAAAGAGAAUCACUAAUUCUUCGUCACAAUUUCCGUUAAAAGAUGGGAUCUGUUUUCUCCUUUUACAUCUGAGAUGGGCAGUACUGAGAUGGGCAGUACUGAGAUGGGCAGUACUGCUUUGACCCUCAGAGUACAGCAGAAGUGACACAGUUCCAGUUUAGGCCUAAACUUUGGAAGGACUGAUAACUUUUGUCUUGGUCACUUAGAGCUAUGAACUGACGUUCUGACUACUGGUUUGGAGAGACCAUGUGAGGAAGUGCCAAGACUGCGUGGAGAGGAAGGGGAGCCCAGAUGAGCCUUCUAACUGUUCCCAUCAAGGUGCCAGGCAUGUGAGUAAAGCCAACCUGGAUGCUGCAGACAACAGAGCCAUCAUGCUGUGAAGAGCCCAAGCCAUGUGGAAAUUCUAUCUGAGGUUGGACCACUUAACAGCCUCCAUUGAGCAGCAACUAUCAGCCCUGUGAGUGCGCCAUUGCAGAUGACUAACUCUCUAGAGCCUUCAGAAAACUGCAGCCCCAGCCAAUAUCUGACUGCAAGAGAGCCCAAGCAAGAACUGCCUCGUGGAGCCCAGUCAACACACAGAACUGGGAGCCACGAUGAUCAUUGACUCUUCUAAGCCACUGAGCUUUGAGAUGCGAAGGGCCACAUCCCUCCAUCCCUCUACUGAAGCUGACAUGUCGUCAUUUAGUGAUGCCCCAGUUUACCCACCUGAAAAGUGAGAGACACAACCAACCAUCUGCCCUGCUUACUUGAAUGAGUUGAUAAAAAGAACAAAACUAUAGCGAACAUAGGAAAGCAGUUUCUAGGCUCUAUAGCGUACCAUGUAUACAUAGUGUCCUGGGUUGAGUUGACUGGUGGAUUAAAAAACUCUCACAGUGAAAGCAUAUUGGUUGUUACAUAGGGCUGGGGCAAGGGGCAAUGGGAGUGUUGCAGUGAAGUUGGCUAAGGCGUGUAAAGCUUCUUUCUGAGGCAAUGAAAAUGUUCUAAA
Molecule: long non-coding RNA, 1842 nt
Organism: Callithrix jacchus (white-tufted-ear marmoset)
Lineage: Eukaryota; Metazoa; Chordata; Mammalia; Primates; Cebidae
Source: RefSeq, a predicted model, not a curated record